Long non-coding RNA from Monodelphis domestica (gray short-tailed opossum), 5108 nucleotides. RefSeq lists it as uncharacterized. The record is from RefSeq and is a predicted model, not a curated record. Lineage: Eukaryota; Metazoa; Chordata; Mammalia; Didelphimorphia; Didelphidae.
AGGAUUCAGAGCUUUCUCCAGUGUUAGUAGAAUAAAUUUGAACCCCCUGAGGCUGGGUUUGUGACUGGUCUGAGCUGGAUGGGAUCAGUUGCCUCUUCUGAGUUUGGCCAAAGCUGGAUCCUCCUAGGGCCUGAAAAAAAUUUAAGAGCUAUUUCUCCAUAAGAUCCCUUCAAUCAAAACACUUUGUCUAACUGCUCAUUUCUUCAGAUGGUAUCCGGCAGGUACUAUCAGAUGGAAGAACUGCCAUGUAUGCAUCUUGGAUUUACAGCUGAAUUGGUCCUCAGAGGUCAUUGAGUACAACGUUCUGGUGCACAGAAAGGUUAAGUGACUUGCUCAGGGUCACAUGGUAGGACUUGAAUCCAGGGCUCCUUGAUUCCAUGUCUGGUACCCUAUUUGCUAUGACAUGCUGCCUCAUGUUUUUGCAUUAUUCAGUUUCAAUUGCUGUUCUUUCCACUCGCAUUGUUGCAGCCAUUGUGUCUUGGACCACUAGGUAAAGGAAUAUAGUACAUUGAAAAUGCCUGGGUACUUUGGGUGAGCUGGGAGUUGAGCCUGGGACAGCCUUGUGUGUCAUUGCCCUGGAGAUUCUGGGUUUGUGUAUCAUAUCCCUGGAGACCCCAAUGAAGACCAUAACAAAAGAGACAUCAUCUUGAGUUUGUGUUCAUGUAUUUUAUGGAUACCCUUGGUUAUCUGUUGCCAUAUCUAUAUUGCCAGUAACCAUGUGGAUGGGUAUGUUUGGAGAGGGAAGUCAGUAUGACUGGUUGCCAAAUAUAGUACCAACUCAGUUUCCUAUAAGUAAUGUAAGAAUUGAAAUAAUAUCUCUACCCAGAUAUCUAUUUUAUAAAGUAUAUUGGAAAGGGUAGACAAUCAUUCCUAAGUAACUUGACCGUGUGGUGCCUAGCCUGCCAGUCUCUUUCUUCCUUCACUCCACCUGCCUGUUCUGCAUUCUGACUUCUUCCUUCCUAAUUCUCUUCUUGGUUCUCCCCUGAUUCUCUCUUGAUUCUCCCCCAAUUCUCCCCAAACCUUGACCUUUAUUGACCCACAGCAUGCUGACUGACACAAAACCUGGCACAACUGUGGUAUGUUAGGAAUGUUUGAUAGACAGAUAAAGUUAUUGGGGGGGGAGGGGAGGAUCUUCCUUGACACAAUCCUCCCUGUGAUCCUUUGGGAGACUCAUCUCCCCAAUGGAUCAUUUAAAUAUAACUAUCAUAUAACUAAAUACCUUCUAGCUAAAAAUACAUACAAUAUUACAUUUUUCUAAGAGGGAGUUACAAUAGUUAGAGAUGAGAAUAAAAUACAAAGACUGAUUGAUAGAUGCAUUGACAAAAUGCCAAUUAGGGGGCUGUCCCCUUUGUCACAAGAGUUUACAUUCAGAAGAAGUAUGUUCAAUCCCCUUCAAUUCAGUUCAUUAUAUCCCAAAGUUCAUUCUGGAUCUUUUGAUGCAGUGUGUGGCUUCUUCAGGCACUUUACAGCACCUUCUCCAAAAGGAUCCGCUUUCUUUUUGGAUGUUGCCAAGUUUCUUUUCCUGAAAUUUCUCCAAAAAAUUUUAAACCUUAAAUUUUUUAGGAUACUUACACAAUCCCCCCUGAGGAGGGUGUUGACAAACACCAGAAUCACACUGAGAUAAAUGACUGAGUUAUGAGGUAUAUGAAACAAUUGUCAAAAGAAAAACAAAAACAAAAAAAAACCACCCCCAAAAAAUCCCAAAUAAAAGAGUGAAAAAAUGAAAUUUCAUAUAAAAUAAUAAGAAAUACAGAAAUGAUAAAAAAUAAAAAUUUUACAUGUAUGAAAUUCUGAGUAAAAAAUAAUAAACCUGUAACAGGUUCUUGAAUCACAGUAAAAUCCAAUUAAAGUGGCUUAUGUUCCACAAGCCUGUAGGACAAUAGCAGCAACACAGAACUUUACCCAUUUGCAGCCAAGACUACAGAAAAUUGCCAAACUAUAAGAGAGAAAGGACUAAGUUUCAGCAGCAAAUGGGAAAAAUCAUUCUUUGGUCUGAUUUUACCACUACUGUCAGAGAUAGGGGGAUCCAGGAUGAUAGCUAACCUGAGGCACUUGACUCAAAGUAUUGCACAUGGAGUGUGGUUCAAGAAAGUCCUGCCUCUUAACAUAUGUCAAGUGCCUCAACCUUGAUUCGCACACUAGGUUCAAGUCCUUUUGUAUUGGCAUAGAAGUUCAACAAUCCUCCCUGCAUUGGAUUUGGUCUGUUUUGGCCUUGUGCUAUUUGGCACUGUAUAUUGGCUCUUUUGUUCCCUUCUCCUGGAAUUAGACAUAGACAUAAUCUUUUAACAAAGUCCCAUAACAUUUAUCAAUAAAUAGCAGGUUUCCAUAGUCUUUUGCCUUUUGGAUAUGCAUAUUACUAGGGCUAAUAGAUACUGUAAACUUUAUCCUUCAAGUUAAAAAAACAUUAAUACUGAUCUCAUGUACUUCAAGUAUCACCAAGGUUAGGAAAAAAGAAAGAAAAAUAAAUCAAAUAUCCUACUGCAAACAGAAAGAGAAAAAAUGGAAAAAAAUAUAAUUUCCUAGUUAAAUAUUCCAUGUAACAAUGUGUUAGCUAAGCAGAGGCACAACACAAUAAGUGGUCACUCAAAAAUGAAAUUUAUAUCACUCUUAACUUGGCCAGGAUCUGCAGUGUGAUUGCACAUAAUUUUUCACCAGGUAAAAACCUUUUAAAAAACAGUAGUACAACAACUAAUACAGAUUCUAAAAAAUGCCAAAAUCCUCAAAAUUAUAAGAACCCAUUUGAGGACAAUAACAAACAAACCAACUAUCAUUAGGAUUCACAUGAUUUGCUGUGUGACAUCCAAAAACCUAUAAACACAUGAAUACUUGUCACAAGUUCUACAGAUUUAGCCAAUCUUUCAACCUUGGCAAAGAUAUUUUUAACAAAGUCUAUCAUUACCAUCUUUCCAAAAUUUAGUGGGAGAGAAACCCAAAAAACCUCAGUACUGUUGAUGAAUAAUUACAAAAUAUAAUAAAUCCAUUUAGAAGCUACAAGGUUUCAUAGGAAAAAUCAUUCCCACCUCCCAGAUGAGAUUAUAACACUUCAGAGGGUAACUUAGCCAUUUAGGCACCUCCCUCCCUCUUGGUAUGAGACUGUAACAGUACACCAGAACUGUCUCCAAUAUGUUCCAACCAUUUUCACAUGGAGCUGAGGACUAAAAAGCAAAAAUCACUUCGGAUACAUCAUCCAUUACAUUUACAAUAAAUGCAGAGAUGGGAAAAUACAAAAAUGCCAUUGCACUCUACUUCUGCUACAAAUAGACCCUUACCUCUUUUUUUAAAAAAUAUAUUUUAUUUGAUCAUUUCCAAGCAUUAUUCGUUAAGGACAUAGAUCAUUUUCUUUUCCUCCCCCCCAACCCCAUAGCCGACGCGUAAGUCCACUGGGCCUUAGAUGUUUUCUUGAUUUGAACCGAUUGCUUUGUUGAUAGUAUUUGCAUUAGAGUGUUCAUUUAGAGUCUAUCCUCUGUCAUGACCCCUCAACCUCUGUAUUCAGGCAGUUGCUUUUUCUCGGUGUUUCCACUCCCAUAGUUUAUCCUUUGCUUAUGAAUGGUGUUUUUUUCUCCUGGAUCCCUGCAAGUUGUUUAGGGACAUUACACCGCCACUAAUGGAGAAGUCCAUUACGUUCGAUUAUACCACAGUGUAUUAGUCUCUGUGUACAAUGUUCUCCUGGUUCUGCUCCUCUCGCUCUGCAUCACUUCCUGGAGGUUGUUCCAGUCUCCAUGGAACUUCUCCACUUUAUUAUUCCUUUUAGCACAAUAGUACUCCAUCACCAACAUAUACCACAGUUUGUUCAGCCAUUCCCCAAUUGAUGGGCAUCCCCUCGUUUUCCAGUUUUGGGCCACCAGACCCUUACCUCUUUUUACAAACAACUCAAGAGGCAAGCAAAUAAAUGAUCAAAGGUAGGGAUGCUCCCAGAUAUCUGAAAACCACUUUUUAAGACUCAGUAAAAUCAACUGAGAUUAUUAGAUAAUUAAAUUCCCAAAACUUGUAUACAGGUUGAAACCAACAUGAUGGAAUCCAUCCAUCAGCUCUGUGUGACAAUUAACAAAGGCAAAAAAGGAAUCAAAUUCUGUUUAUGGGCUUUUACAAUGAACAUUCUUCAGUACAAACAUAGUUAUAAGGGAGGUACAAAUAAAGACAAUGUAACAGAAAAUUUCAAUUUUGAUAACUUAUGAAGUGGUUAACAGUAAAUUACAUACAUCUUGUAUUUAAGACUUGUGUUACAGAGACUUCUUCAUUCCGGGGAGGGAAACAAACUGAAACAGUUAACAUUAAUAAGGCAAUGAGGUCUGAAAAGGCUUAAAAAUUCACUUCCAGACUCUUUGAGGUUCCUUCCCCUCCCAAGUACCACCAGUCAGCACAAUUUCUUUGUUCACACCUCUGGGUUCCCCCAUACUGAGGGGAGUUCCUGCACUGAGUACAGGUGUUUGGGUAUGUUUUGAUUUUUAUAUAUAUAUUUAUAAAUACUGGUACUUGUGGGAAUAUCAUGUUGAUAAAUCGACCAUGCCCUUCAGUGAGGAAACCAUUCUUUCCUUGGGACCAAACCAUUCUAGCUUAACUCCUUCAGUAAAAUCUAGCAUCUGAAUAACUAUUCCUCCUACCAAUAUUACUAUUCCUGAAACUUCUAUUCCUAUUUUCCUGAUUUCUCUUCUUAUAAUUCAUAAUUACAUGACUAACUUUUCCACAAAAAUGACAUGUUAGUGGUUGUUUCAUGGAUUCUAGUAAGGGUGCUAUGAUCUCCUUGCUUAACCUUUACAACAGUUUCAGUUAAUUAUUUUAUUUCCUUCCUCAAUGUCUCUACUAAAGUAGCAUUCUCCUUAUCCUUCUCACCCUGUUUAGAAGUCAAUUCAUUUAUUUCCUUCCUCAAUGCUUCCACUAAAUCAGUGUUCUCCUUUUCCUUAUGUCCCUCAAAAGCAUAAACUGUCACUCUUUUCAAUUCUUCAGGGUCUAUAGUAGGUCAAUUUGGACAGCUAAUAUCAUCUGUGGUAACUGCUACUUGGCCUGUGUUCUGGAGUUCAAUGGAGUGGGUUGUAGUGAGGCUGGCAGGGGGAAAGGAGUGGGGUGGUGGAAUGGAGCUGGUCAGCAGGUGGAGAGGCAGAGCGUAAGGA